Molecule: ribosomal RNA, 211 nt
Filed under: Neobodo designis
Lineage: Eukaryota; Euglenozoa; Kinetoplastea; Neobodonida; Neobodonidae
Description: partial 18S small subunit ribosomal RNA
Rfam family: Eukaryotic small subunit ribosomal RNA
Source: RNAcentral
CACUUCUACGGAGGGCAGCAGGCGCGCAAUUGCCCAAUGUCGAUAAAAACGAUGAGGCAGCGAAAAGAAAUAGGCCUCCCAGCCACUCUGUGGUUGGGAGAUACAAUGGGGGAUAUUUAACGCCAUCCAAAAUCGAGUAACAAUUGGAGGACAAGUCUGGUGCCAGCACCCGCGGUAAUUCCAGCUCCAAAAGCGUAUAUUAACGCUGUUG